UAAAGUUACUUAAGGGCACAUGGAGGAUGCCUAGGCUCCGGGAGGCGAUGAAGGACGUGAUAAGCUGCGAUAAGCUGCGGGUAUCGGCAAAUACGAUUCGAUCCGCAGAUUUCCGAAUGGGGCAACCCGGUAUGAGCAGAUCAUACCAUCCGUUUUAUAGCGGAGGCGAACGCGGGGAACUGAAACAUCUCAGUACCUGCAGGAAAAGAAAACAAGUAGUGAUUCCCCCAGUAGCGGCGAGCGAACGGGGAUUAGCCCAAACCGGCGAUGUUUCGGCAUUGUCGGGGUUGUAGGACCGACCGUUUAGGUUUUCCGACGUUGAAGUGGAACAUUCUGGAAAGUUUGAUCAUAGAGGGUGACAAUCCCGUACACGAAUCGACGUUUGAAUGCCGGUCGGCAAUCCUGAGUAGUGCGGGGCACGAGAAAUCCUGUACGAAUCGGGCGGGACCAUCCGCCAAGGCUAAAUACUCCCCGGAGACCGAUAGUGUACCAGUACCGUGAGGGAAAGGUGAAAAGGACCUCGAACAGAGGAGUGAAAUAGAACCUGAAACCAUGUGCCUACAAGCGGUCGGAGCGCGUCGGAUAUUUUUUCGAUGUGUGACGGCGUGCCUUUUGCAUAAUGAACCUACGAGUUGCUUUUGUUGGCGAGGUUAAGUGUUUUUUCAGGCACGUUAGCCGUAGCGAAAGCGAGUCUUCACAGGGCGUUAUAGUCAGCAUGAGCAGACGCGAAACCAAGUGAUCUACCCUUGAGCAGGCUGAAGUUUCCGUAACAGGGGAUGGAGGGCCGAAUCGGUAUACGUUGAAAAGUAUUCGAAUGACUUGAGGGUAGGGGUGAAAGGCCAAUCAAACUUGGAGAUAGCUCGUACUCCCCGAAAUGCAUUUAGGUGCAGCCUCGGGCGAUUUCCUUACAUGAGGUAGAGCCACUGAUUGGAUGCGAGGGCUUCACCGCCUGUCAAUUCCAGACAAACUCCGAAUGCGUGUAAGGUUUUCCCGGGAGUGAGGGCACGGGUGCUAAGGUCCGUGUCCGAGAGAGGAACAACUCAGACCAUCGGCUAAGGUCCCCAAAUAUAUGCUAAGUUGGUUUAAACGAAGUAUCGCCGCUGAGACAGCUAGGAUGUUGGCUUGGAAGCAGCCACUCAUUUAAAGAGUGCGUAACAGCUCACUAGUCUAGUGGUGGUGCGUGGACAAUAAUCGGGCAUAAGCAUAUUACCGAAGCUGUGGGACGUACAUUAUGUACGUCGGUAGGGGAGCAUUCCGCAUGCAGUGAAGGAGUGUUGUGAGGCAUUCUGGAGCGUUCGGAAGCGAAAAUGUAGGUAUAAGUAACGAUAAAGGGGGCGUGAAACCCCCUCGCCAAAAGACUCAGGUUUCCUGAUCAACGCUAAUCGGAUCAGGGUAAGUCGGGUCCUAAGGAUAAUCCGUUAUGGAGAUUCCGAUGGGUGAAACGGUCAAUAUUCCGUUACUGCGACAAUAAGCGAUGUGGUGACGCAGGGGUGACACCGCUGCCUGCUGACGGAAUAGCAGGUUGAAGGGUGUAGGUAUUGAAGGGUGUAGGCAAAUCCGCACCCUGAGCCGAACCUGAAAGUAUGGCAAGUCUUCGGACGAGUCAAUAAUGCGGGUAAUCGUACUGCCCGGAAAAACCGCUAAGCUUCAUUAUUGUUGCACCCGUACCGCAAACCGACACAGGUAGUUGGGUUGAGUAUACUUAGGCGCUCGAGAGAUUCACGGUUAAGGAACUAGGCAAAAUGGUCCUGUAACUUCGGGAGAAAGGACGCCUUCUCCAUUAGGGGAGGGCCGCAGUGAACAGAUUUGGACGACUGUUUAUCAAAAACACAAGGCUAUGCGAAUUCGAAAGAAGCGGUAUAUAGUCUGACACCUGCCCGGUGCCGGAAGGUUAAGGGGAAGGGUUAGCAUAGGGGAUUCGUCUCCUAUGCGAAGCUCCGAGCUGAAGCCCCGGUAAACGGCGGCCGUAACUAUAACGGUCCUAAGGUAGCGAAAUUCCUUGUCGGGUAAGUUCCGACCUGCACGAAUGGUGUAACGAUCUGAAUACUGUCUCAACCGUGAGCUCGGUGAAAUUGAAGUAUCGGUGAAGAUGCCGAUUACCCGCGAUGGGACGAGAAGACCCCGUGAACCUUUACUAUAGCUUUACAUUGGACUUGGUCCUUCGAUGUGUAGGAUAGGCCGGAGGCUAAGAAGCGGUUGCGCCAGCAGCCGUGGAGCCGUCGGUGAAAUACGGCCCUUCGAAUGAUCGGGUUCUAACCCGCGUUUUAGCGGGGACAGUGUAUGGUGGGUAGUUUGACUGGGGUGGUCGCCUCCAAAAGCGUAACGGAGGCUUCCAAAGGUGCGCUCCGGACGAUUGGUAACCGUCCGCGAGAGUGUAAUGGCACAAGCGCGCUUGACUGAGAGACCUACAAGUCGAUCAGGUAGGAAACUAGGGCAUAGUGAUCCGGUGGUUCCGUAUGGAAGGGCCAUCGCUCAAAGGAUAAAAGGUACUCCGGGGAUAACAGGCUGAUCAUUCCCAAGAGCUCAUAUCGACGGAAUGGUUUGGCACCUCGAUGUCGGCUCGUCACAUCCUGGGGCUGGAGAAGGUCCCAAGGGUUGGGCUGUUCGCCCAUUAAAGUGGCACGCGAGCUGGGUUCAGAACGUCGUGAGACAGUUCGGUCUCUAUCUAUCGUGGGCGCGGGAGAUUUGCGGGGCUCUGACACUAGUACGAGAGGACCGUGUCGGACGGACCUCCGGUGAACCGGUUGUGCCGCCAGGUGCAUCGCCGGGUAGCUGCGUCCGGUCAAGGAUAAGCGCUGAAAGCAUCUAAGCGCGAAGCCGACCCCAAGAUGAGAUCUCCAUUAAUAGGGUGGUUAUAGACGAUGACCUUGAUAGGCUGCAGGUGUAAAGGCGGUAACGUCAAAGCCGAGCAGUACUAAUUACCCGAACGACUUUUUUUC
This 2939-nucleotide ribosomal RNA is filed under the name anaerobic digester metagenome. RNAcentral describes it as "bacterial LSU rRNA". It matches the Rfam family "Bacterial large subunit ribosomal RNA". The record is from RNAcentral.